UUUACUUCUGAUAUAUGUGAGGAUUUCUGGAUGAUGCAGCUGGUAGUUCCCUGCAGUUUGUCCUUCCCUUGGGCGAGGUUUGUUAGGGCCAUGGCUGCGUUGAUCUCCUUCCAGUACGUUUCAUCUUUGCUGGUUCCUUUUCUGUUAGCUUUCACACUUAUUUGGUCCAUUCUCCAAAGUUUCUGUCCGGUAGACAAAAUUGCCUUCUGUCUCUGAUGAUGAUGGAGACACCAAUUCCUCCUCAAAUUCAUUGGAACUAAAUGAACCAGAGUGAUUCCUUUGCCUUGUUUUUUCCAUCAUAGCUGCGUUAGUAGCCAUGACAUGUCUCAAUGAGUCAUUCAGGUAACGAUUCAAUAAGCUGUUUUUGUAUUUGGGAGGUGACACGUAAUCCUCAUUGGCACUUGUUUCUGGUCUCACUCCUGUUUUUAUGACUGAGCUUUCAGUUUUAAUCACAGUGUGAUGAACUGGUUUGUUGUAUCCCCCUUCAUUCAUAUGGUUUCUUGGAGGAUUUUCUCCAUCUUCAGAGCACGAGUCAUCACUGCUCACGCUCAGCCUUUCGGCAUUUCCUUGGACGUAUUUGUUGUACAGUUUUAUUCGCAAAGCCCAGCUGAGGUCUGGUUGCCUGACUGUGUUCUUAAGGCGACGUCUUGCAUUGGCAAACCAGUUUGAGACCUGCACCAGGGUCAUCUGGGAGCCCAGGGCCAGCAGGAUCUUCUCGGUCUUGGUGGGAUACGGGUUGUCGCGGUGUUUGUAGAGCCACUGCUUGAGCGGCCGCGCCAUGUCCUGCAGCGCCUGCCGCUUGUGCCGGACCUUGCCGCCGCUCUGCCGAGCCCCCGUCCUCCGGUUGCGCAGGCUGAGGCUCUCCUUGAUGGACGGGCUGUCGGGGAGCAGCACCUCGGCGUGGUGCGGGCCCUCCACCACCCCCACGUAGGGCCGGCCGCCCCGCUCCCGCUCCUUGGCGUCCUCCUCGAAAAGCACCUGGCCGCUCAGCUUGCUGAAGACGAUGGUGUUCAUGGUGGGGGGGGGCUGGGGGCCGCCGUCGGGCUGGCCGCCGGCUCCGAGGUGCGGGGGCUCCGCUCUGCGCUGCGGGGAGGCGGCAGCGGUCACCCGGCGGCCGCGCGCACCGCCCCGGGCAGCCCCGG
Molecule: long non-coding RNA, 1142 nt
Filed under: Gallus gallus (chicken)
Lineage: Eukaryota; Metazoa; Chordata; Aves; Galliformes; Phasianidae
Source: RNAcentral